AUGAACGCUAUUUACAGGCUUAACACAUGCAAGUCGAGGGGCAGCAUGGUCUUAGCUUGCUAAGGCCGAUGGCGACCGGCGCACGGGUGAGUAACACGUAUCCAACCUGCCGUCUACUCUUGGACAGCCUUCUGAAAGGAAGAUUAAUACAAGAUGGCAUCAUGAGUCCACAUGUUCACAUGAUUAAAGGUAUUCCGGUAGACGAUGGGGAUGCGUUCCAUUAGAUAGUAGGCGGGGUAACGGCCCACCUAGUCUUCGAUGGAUAGGGGUUCUGAGAGGAAGGUCCCCCACAUUGGAACUGAGACACGGUCCAAACUCCUACGGGAGGCAGCAGUGAGGAAUAUUGGUCAAUGGGCGAGAGCCUGAACCAGCCAAGUAGCGUGAAGGAUGACUGCCCUAUGGGUUGUAAACUUCUUUUAUAAAGGAAUAAAGUCGGGUAUGGAUACCCGUUUGCAUGUACUUUAUGAAUAAGGAUCGGCUAACUCCGUGCCAGCAGCCGCGGUAAUACGGAGGAUCCGAGCGUUAUCCGGAUUUAUUGGGUUUAAAGGGAGCGUAGAUGGAUGUUUAACUCAGUUGUGAAAGUUUGCGGCUCAACCGCAAAAUUGCAGUUGAUACUGGAUAUCUUGAGUGCAGUUGAGGCAGGCGGAAUUCGUGGUGUAGCGGUGAAAUGCUUAGAUAUCACGAAGAACUCCGAUUGCGAAGGCAGCCCUGCUAAGCUGCAACUGACAUUGAGGCUCGAAAGUGUGGGUAUCAAACAGGAUUAGAUACCCUGGUAGUCCACACGGUAAACGAUGAAUACUCGCUGUUUGCGAUAUACAGCAAGCGGCCAAGCGAAAGCGUUAAGUAUUCCACCUGGGGAGUACGCCGGCAACGGUGAAACUCAAAGGAAUUGACGGGGGCCCGCACAAGCGGAGGAACAUGUGGUUUAAUUCGAUGAUACACGAGGAACCUUACCCGGGCUUAAAUUGCAGAUGAAUUACGGUGAAAGCCGUAAGCCGCAAGGCAUCUGUGAAGGUGCUGCAUGGUUGUCGUCAGCUCGUGCCGUGAGGUGUCGGCUUAAGUGCCAUAACGAGCGCAACCCUUGUUGUCAGUUACUAACAGGUUCCGCUGAGGACUCUGACAAGACUGCCAUCGUAAGAUGUGAGGAAGGUGGGGAUGACGUCAAAUCAGCACGGCCCUUACGUCCGGGGCUACACACGUGUUACAAUGGGGGGUACAGAGGGCCGCUACCACGCGAGUGGAUGCCAAUCCCCAAAACCUCUCUCAGUUCGGACUGGAGUCUGCAACCCGACUCCACGAAGCUGGAUUCGCUAGUAAUCGCGCAUCAGCCACGGCGCGGUGAAUACGUUCCCGGGCCUUGUACACACCGCCCGUCAAGCCAUGGGAGCCGGGGGUACCUGAAGUGCGUAACCGCGAGGAGCGCCCUAGGGUAAAACUGGUGACUGGGGCUAAGU
Molecule: ribosomal RNA, 1454 nt
Filed under: uncultured organism
Description: SSU rRNA
Rfam family: Bacterial small subunit ribosomal RNA
Source: RNAcentral